Molecule: long non-coding RNA, 2312 nt
Filed under: Mus musculus (house mouse)
Lineage: Eukaryota; Metazoa; Chordata; Mammalia; Rodentia; Muridae
Description: long non-coding RNA chr5:31559216-31561528
Source: RNAcentral
AUUUCUCAGUUCGAGGCCAGCCCGGUCUACAAAGUGAGUUCCAGGACAGCCAGGACUAUACAGAGAAACCCUGUCUCGAAAAACAAACAACAACAACAAAAAAUAAAGCCAGCUGGAGGGGCAAAUGAUGUUUCCUUCAAACACUCUGCAUCUAUUUCUCUACUUACUAGUUUCUCCCAUGCAAGUUGCAGCCAACUUUCUAGCUUGGUGGAAUUUGCUGCUUAUGAGAGUAGCUCCUUUGGUUCAUUGUGUCAUGUGUGAGGGGGCUCAGGACACCAGAUGGUCACUCCUUCUGUGAGUCUUCUGAACUGAGCCAACAAGGUUUCUUACAAACCAUGGUGAGGGUAUUGUGUCUUGCCCCUCUGAGGGUGUUGUGCACCAUGGGGAGUUCCCCUGCCACCUGCAUCCUGUUGGGCUGGAGGGAACAAAUGUCUUUGUCUUCCUAGUCUUUAGCAUCCAGCAGUCAUAGACGUGUAAAGUGAAAGGGGCUAGGUUGUAAAAAACAGGAGAGGAUACAGAAAAACAAAACAAGUAAUGGCAGGGGCAGAGAAUGCUAAUAAGUAUUCUCAAAACUAGUUGGUGCUCCAUCCAAAUGUUGUGAAAUGAAAGAGUAUACAACAACCAAUUCAGAAUGAACCAAUAUACUUUCCACUGAAAUCAGAGCCCAGUAAGAGCUCACCAGUGUCUACCUGAUAAGGCAGCCCAGACAGUUGGACACACAGAACCCUUGCAGAUAGACAGCAUGGACCUUACCACCUUCGCCAGUGAUAAAGUAUCCUGGCAGAUCAGCCUAAGGAAGGGUUUCAGUUUGCUUACGGCUGGGGAACAUCUGUACCCUGAAGGGAGUCAAAAAGCAGCAGGAGUUUGAGGCAUAGUUGCAUCGCCUCUGCCAUUAGGAAGUGGGUAGUGUGAAUGUCUGUGCUCAGCUAGCUUUCUUCUGUUUUAAACUACCCGUUUAUUGGUUAUGUGUGUGGUGUGGAUGUGAAGGUCAGGAGACGCUGGUCCUCAGGCUCAGCAGCAAGCAUAUUUACACAGUCUCACCAGUCCUUGCUCUCCUUAUACAGUCUAGGACACAAGUCUAGGAAAUGGUGCCACCUAUUAUUAGUGUGCCUUCCCACACAGUCAACAUAACCCUCACAGUAUGUCUAAAGGCUUGUCUCCUAAGGGAAUCUAGAUCCUAUGCAGUUGACAGUUAACACUUAGGUGUGGCGUGGCUGCACUGUGCCUGUUGACCGCAUGCAUGGGGAGGCAGAGACAGAUGGAUCCCUGAAGCUUACUAGGCAGCCAACCCAGCUGAGCCAGUGAGCUUCAGGGAGAUGGCUUGUUCCAAGAAAAGGGCAGGCAAGAUGGCUCAGUGUGUAACAGCACUCCCCACUAGGCUUGACAGCCCAGGUUCAAUCCCAGGGACCCACAUGGUAGGAGAACUGGCUUCCAUGUGUGUGUCAUGGCAUGUCCAUAUGUCUCCAUCCCAGCAGGCACAUCUCCAUUAUCAUAAGCACAGGCCUUGUAAUGCAUUCUAAAGGAAAGAGCAGCCUUCCCUAAUCCAGAGGCUUGCUGUGUGUGCCUGGAAACCACAAGCAAAGCGAACACUGUGGUGAUGGAGGGCUCGCCAGGGUCCCUCUGACUUUGCAGAGUGGUAAUGACAACUCCAGUCAUUAUCUUCUGCUUCUGAAGGGUCCUGAGAGUGAGUAAGUGUCGGUACACAGUAGGAUUCCCCUAAACUGGGAACAAUAUAAAAAUGUAUGUCUCUCCUGCUGAGGUAUUCUGAGAGACCAUGAGAUGUACAUGAAGAUGCCUUGAAAACCAUAAUUUGAAAGAAAAAAAAAAAGGAGUCUAUGUGAGAUGAAAACACACUUUCCUUAAUUGAAGAAAAUUGUAGCCCAGAGCUCUGGUACUAACCAGUACCCCCCCCCCAGCUGUCUCUCUAGUUGCAUAUAUAGCAGAGGAUGGCCUAGUCGGCCAUCGGAGGAAGGAGAGGCCCUUGGUCUUGCAAAGAUUAUAUGCCCCAGUACAGGGGAAUGCCAGGGCCAGGAAGUGGGAGUGGGUAGGUUGGGGAGCAGGGUGGGGAAGCUAUAGGGGGCUUUGGGGAUAGCAUUUGAAAUGUAAAUGAAGAAAAUAUCUAAUAAAAAAAGAAAAUUGCUAAAUUUGAUGACUCUAAAUACAAAAAAAAGAGAAAAUCAUAAUUUGUACAUAGUUGCUAGGGUGAUUUUAUGUCCUGUAUCCCCCCCUCCAUCCUUUUUUUGGGGGGGAGCUUCCCUCCCACGGUCACACCUUUCCCCACCCCCUCCCACCUCCAUCCAAGGAGUGAAGUG